Molecule: long non-coding RNA, 281 nt
Filed under: Chinchilla lanigera (long-tailed chinchilla)
Lineage: Eukaryota; Metazoa; Chordata; Mammalia; Rodentia; Chinchillidae
Description: lncRNA (ENSCLAG00000027332.1)
Source: RNAcentral
GCUUAUUUUAUUUGGAAACCAUGCUCAGAGGAAGACACAGUCUGAAACCCAGUUUGACUGCUGAUCUUCUCUGGGGUCUUUGUUGAGUGCAAGGAGGUGUGUCCACACUGCCUCAUCAUCUCCCUUUGGUCAUUCACUGGGACUCUGUAUGAGUCAGCAUCCCAUCACUGUAAUAAGGUACCUGAGAUAAUCAGCUUAUAAAGAGAAAAGGUUUGUUUUGGCUUACAGGUUUGGAUGUUCCAGCUGGUAGCUGAAUGGUCCUGUUGCUCUGGGCCUGUGAC